UAAGUCCAGGAUCAUUGGAGACACUGAACU
RNAcentral lists this non-coding RNA (30 nucleotides) under Rattus norvegicus (Norway rat). The record is from RNAcentral. Lineage: Eukaryota; Metazoa; Chordata; Mammalia; Rodentia; Muridae.